UGAGGUCUUCCAUGAGGCGCAUGCUCGCCUGGUAGUCUUUGCUCUGACCUGGCGCAGAUUGGGGCAAGUUCAUGCUGUCUUGGCCUUGGUCCACAACAUGGUCAUUGUUUUUCUACAGCGAGCCGGGCUGUGACACUAACGUUUCUUAUCCUCUUAGAUCCACCACUUCAGCUUCAUGGAUGUUGUCUAUGAGUUGGUGCUGCUGGGAAUGCUGCAGGGAGCGAGGCCUCUGAUCUGUCCAACGCAAGGAGGGCUCCUUGGGCACCUCAUGGAGAUGUUUUAUUUCUUUCAGUCCUGUCAGACCGAGGGCUGAACAGUACUUGUACCUGCUCCAGGAUGAGGCAAUGCUCCUGUUGAAGGACAUCUUUCGUGAAGAGGAGCAUGUUCAUAUGGAUUCCUGAUCUCUGGCCCUCGCUCUGUGGGACUGUCUGGAGAAAUGUGUCCAGUGGCUGUUGGCGUUUAACAUCUACCCCUUCCUUCACAAACACCAUUUUUCAUUUACUUUUAUAUUUUUACCAGUAUAAUAUUUGUAAAUAUCAGUGUAACAUUAAGUACACUAAAUACUGGGUUGCCAGCUAUUCAGUUCAUCUACCUCAUUAAUUAUCUGUAGCCAAUCAGAUGGGGGUAGAACUGAGGGUAGAUGUCAAGCAGCACAAGGGAAAGAAGAGAAAGAUACAGAAAACAGCUUCAGCUGAUGAGGAAGAAGAGAAUCCGUCGGACACCUUCUGGUUCUCUGGCUGCAAAUGACACCAGCGAAUGCUCUUCAUCUGAUAAGUGUCAUGACUGUCAGAUCAGAACUAAGGGAAAAGAAAACGCAGCAGACCGUGCAACAAAAAGUUCUACUGUGGGUUUUGUUCUGAGCGCUUUCAGCAAAAUGGCACAGCACUUGGAAUUAAAACACAAAGAUAAACCAGAGGAGGAAAGAGCAAUUACAUUUCCAAAGGAAAUGUUACCGGUCCAGUGUACCUGUAAAACCCAGUGAUUACAAGCACUGUGUUAACUGUGAGGUUUACCUUAAAAAGAUCACUAUGGAGGCACACAGUAAAAAAAAGCCAGGGAAAACUAGAGUCCAGGCCCUUUGUGUAUUUGCUCAGCCAGUUCCAGACAAUGCAAAUGCACAAUUUUGGAAACUCUUGCUUGACAUGUAUGAAAACGAGGUAACAGAUGUCAGCAGAGCGAUAAGCAUACUGAAAUGAGGGGAACACCUCUACAAUAAGCACAGGCCUGAUGUCAUAAAAACAUGAACAUGUUAGACAGUCAAACACGGUGAUUAGUUCUCCAAGGAAAGAAAAAUGGCAAGUCAGAGAUGGUGUCAAGUUUCUGUGUACCAUGUAAUUUCCCUCGUGUUAUAGAAGCAGUUAAUAAACACCACCAUUGAAGUUAGGCCACAACCUCAAGAAAAAUGCAAAUGUGUGACUUCCUGAUUCACAGAGUAGAAUCCACGAUGUCCCUUAAUAUGGUUACAUUAGGAGAGACCAUGAUGUCUCAUCCAGUACACCAGCAUGCGUUAUCUGACUUUGAGAAGAAGCUCUGUGAAAGGCAAAUGUGGACAAAAGGUGCCCGUUGUCUUCACAUCUGAUAUGCUGGCAUUGAUGGAGUUAUUUGUCUAGACUCACUGGAAUGAUGUGCGUGAUGAGAGUCAGUUAAUGUUUGGGAGACCACAAGCUCUCAGUCACUCCAGAAGAUCAGACAUUAUUUGUUAGAUUUCUUGAAGUGGUGGGGCCCCACAAGCACAUGGCCACUAUGUCAAACUUAAAGGAUAGUGAAAUGGAUGGCCUUGCUGUUUUCCUUGGCUGUGGCAUCAGGGUGCAUCACUAGUAUUAUAGGCUCAGCACAGCUGCCAAAGAUAAGUUCUUAUGGCCCUGGAACAAGGACAGCUGUCAAUUUAUGGAAGGAAUCUUGAGAUCAAAACAUGGUAAAACAGACCUCUGUAAAUAACUACAUUGAUUAACACACUCCAAAGUGUUGUGACCUCAUGAGA
Long non-coding RNA from Pygocentrus nattereri (red-bellied piranha), 1981 nucleotides. RefSeq lists it as uncharacterized. The record is from RefSeq and is a predicted model, not a curated record. The transcript is spliced from 3 exons. NCBI's taxonomy places the organism in Eukaryota, Metazoa, Chordata, Actinopteri, Characiformes, Serrasalmidae.